UACGUAGGGGCGAGCGUUGUCCGGAAUGAUUGGGCGUAAAGGGCGCGUAGGCGGCUUUGCAAGUCAGUAGUGGAAGUCCAUUUUUCAAGGAUGGAAGUGCUACAGAAACUGCGGAGCUUGAGUUCAGGAGAGGUUAUCGGAAUUCCCGGUGUAGCGGUGAAAUGCGUAGAGAUCGUGAGGAACACCAGUGGCGAAGGCGGGUAACUGGACUGCAACUGACGCUGAGGCGCGAAAGUGUGGGGAGCAAACAGGAUUAGAUACCCUGGUA
Molecule: ribosomal RNA, 268 nt
Filed under: uncultured prokaryote
Description: partial 16S ribosomal RNA
Rfam family: Bacterial small subunit ribosomal RNA
Source: RNAcentral